Molecule: ribosomal RNA, 818 nt
Filed under: Leptospora thailandica
Lineage: Eukaryota; Fungi; Ascomycota; Dothideomycetes
Description: partial large subunit ribosomal RNA
Rfam family: Eukaryotic large subunit ribosomal RNA
Source: RNAcentral
UUGCCCUAGUAACGGCGAGUGAAGCGGCAACAGCUCAAAUUUGAAAUCUGGCUCUUUCAGAGUCCGAGUUGUAAUUUGCAGAGGGCGCUUUGGCGUUGGCAGCGGUCCAAGUUCUUUGGAACAGGACGUCACAGAGGGUGAGAAUCCCGUACGUGGUCGCUAACCUUCGCCGUGUAAAGCCCCUUCGACGAGUCGAGUUGUUUGGGAAUGCAGCUCUAAAUGGGAGGUAAAUUUCUUCUAAAGCUAAAUACUGGCCAGAGACCGAUAGCGCACAAGUAGAGUGAUCGAAAGAUGAAAAGCACUUUGGAAAGAGAGUCAAAUAGCACGUGAAAUUGUUGAAAGGGAAGCGCUUGCAGCCAGACUUGCCUGUAGUUGCUUAUCUGGACUUUUGUCCGGUGCACUCUUCUGCGGGCAGGCCAGCAUCAGUUUGGGCGGUUGGAUAAAGGUCUCUGUCAUGUACCUCUCUUCGGGGAGGCCUUAUAGGGGAGACGACAUGCAACCAGCCUGGACUGAGGUCCGCGCAUUUGCUAGGAUGCUGGCGUAAUGGCUGUAAGCGGCCCGUCUUGAAACACGGACCAAGGAGUCUAACAUCUAUGCGAGUGUUUGGGUGUCAAGCCCGGACGCGUAAUGAAAGUGAACGGAGGUGGGAACCCUUUGGGUGCACCAUCGACCGAUCCUGAUGUCUUCGGAUGGAUUUGAGUAAGAGCAUGGCUGUUGGGACCCGAAAGAUGGUGAACUAUGCUUGAAUAGGGUGAAGCCAGAGGAAACUCUGGUGGAGGCUCGCAGCGGUUCUGACGUGCAAAUCGAUCGUCAAAUUU